GAAAGUCUGAUCCUGAGUCGAAAAGAAAAAUAUUGCUUGAACAUGCUAGAAUAACGGCCGGAGCCUUGGAUCUGUAGAUCUGAGAAAGACCUAAGGAGAAACAUUAAAUUCGGGCUUCAAAACAUCGAGUAGCUUAGGUUUAAUGGUGAGAAAGAGUGAGUACAUGCCAUCCAUGGCCUAGAAUGCCAUGGAUCCCAGUGGAAUCAUGGUGGAAUGAGGUGGGAAUCGAUUAGGAUUUAGGAGAGGCUAGAGAGAGUUUGAGAGAUGAAGGGGGUUCAAAGGCG
Molecule: long non-coding RNA, 284 nt
Filed under: Nicotiana benthamiana
Lineage: Eukaryota; Viridiplantae; Streptophyta; Magnoliopsida; Solanales; Solanaceae
Description: long non-coding RNA (NBEN_LNC031533)
Source: RNAcentral